Long non-coding RNA from Vombatus ursinus (common wombat), 791 nucleotides. RefSeq lists it as uncharacterized. NCBI's taxonomy places the organism in Eukaryota, Metazoa, Chordata, Mammalia, Diprotodontia, Vombatidae. The transcript has 3 exons. The record is from RefSeq and is a predicted model, not a curated record.
CCCCCCCCCUUGGCAUCCAGACCGCUGUACAGCACAAGUGCGCAUGCGCGGCCCGUCUGGGGCUGGCCCGGGCGCACCUUUUCUCUCUCUCCUGCCACAAAGUGAACGCUCCGCCGCCUAGAUAACCGCCAACUCCCUACUCCACCCCCGCCCGCACCCCCCUCCUCCUACUCUCCAGCGCCCAGGGUUUUUCAAAGGUACUGGAGAGGACUCCUUUCCUCAUCUGCUUGGGCUGCCCUUGUUUGAGGAAGAGGGAUGAAUGUGAAACUCACUAGAAGAAUCUGUCAUUAUAGACUAACAAGCUUAGGAUUCCAAUAGCUGUUCCUUGGACUUCUCACAGAGGAGAAGAGAAUUUCUUUUUCCUCUUCCCCCUGGAAGCUAUGAAGGCUUCUUAGAAAUAACUGCAAGAGACAAAACAGCUGAUUGUCUAGAUGAGACUGAAGCUCAAUCUCAAGGCCCUCGUCUACCGCUAGCUAUCUUCUGUUUUGUGUUUCUGACUGAAAAGCAAUCCUGAGAUGGAUAUUUCUAUCCUUAGUGGCAACCUCAUGAAGUUGACAGGUUAGGAGCUCCUGGGUCCAGUGGCUGGUUGUCCAGCAGGAGAUGUCUGAAGCAAGAAGAGAAAAUGAUAGCUUCCGGGAAGAGGAGACCAAGCUUACUCUGGGUUGCCAGAAAAUAUGCACUUGAGAGAGUUGCUUGUACAAUGCAAAACUGAGGUAAAGGUGAAAUAUCUGGCAGCAAGUUGUGGUAUAUGAAUGUAAUGGAAUACUAUUGUGCAGGCAGACUUCAAAAAU